CGGCUCUUCCUGCCUGAGUAAUACAACGGCGGCUGCGUGUAUGUCCGUCUGGUACGGGCCGUGACGUAAGAAACCCGUCUCCCAGGUCUUCUUGCUGGGCUGAUUUUACCCAGAUUGUAGACCUUCUUUUCCAGAGAAGUACAUGAGCACCGCCCCUCCAGAGAUGAGAAGGAUGGCGCCUCCCCAACCAAUGAAAACCGCAGCUCCAAGUUCAAAUCUAAACAGGAAACAUCAAGACUGGCUGGUCUUUGAAGAUAUGCUGAACUGCAGCUCAGAUCCUGUUCCAGAUCUUGAUGAUCUUGAUGAUCUGGAUGAUCCUGCAGACCCG
Melanotaenia boesemani (Boeseman's rainbowfish) is the source of this 328-nucleotide long non-coding RNA. RefSeq lists it as uncharacterized. The record is from RefSeq and is a predicted model, not a curated record. The transcript has 3 exons. NCBI's taxonomy places the organism in Eukaryota, Metazoa, Chordata, Actinopteri, Atheriniformes, Melanotaeniidae.